This 594-nucleotide ribosomal RNA is filed under the name Ammonia sp. genotype T1. RNAcentral's name for it is "bacterial SSU rRNA". The stretch from base 1 to 464 matches the Rfam family "Eukaryotic small subunit ribosomal RNA", at positions 1220 to 1501 of the family's 1831-position model. The record is from RNAcentral. Lineage: Eukaryota; Foraminifera; Rotaliida; Rotaliidae.
GGGUCCGGACACACUGAGGAUUGACAGAUAUACGUCGUGCGUUGAGCUCUCUCGGGGGCCGAGCGCAUGACUGAAAGAUGCUAGUUCUUUCAUGAUUAUGUGAUAGGUGGUGCAUGGCCGUUCUUAGUUCGUGGAGUGAUCUGUCUGCUUAAUUGCGUAUCAUAAAAAAAGAGACCUAGUAUACGCGUAAGAUAUCGUUUACGGUUCGUGACCCCCUUCGGGCGUGUGUCGCACGUACGUAUCAUACGCACUGGUCUCCGAUAGCAACGAACGUGACCGUACUCUAUUGUUGCAGCGAAUGUAUGCAUCUUCGGGUGUAUCUACCGCUGCUUAGCAUAUUUCAUGCCUCGUGCGUGUGUAUGCAUUAAACUAUAGAGACCGCUGUAUUUUUUUAAACCAGAGGAAGGAUACGGCAAUAACAGGUCUGUGAUGCCCUCAGAUGUUCCGGGCUGCACACGUGCUACAAUGAUCAUUGCACUGUGCAUCUAACCCAAUGUGCGUGGACGCCACGGUAUGUAUUUAUGCUUCGGCGUAGUAUAUAUCAGUUGGUCGGUCGCGCCGAACCUACUUCGAAAGUAAAAUUUCUCAGUGGGU